RNAcentral lists this transfer RNA (91 nucleotides) under Immersiella caudata. RNAcentral's name for it is "Cercophora caudata tRNA". It matches the Rfam family "tRNA". From Rfam's summary of the family: Transfer RNA (tRNA) molecules are approximately 80 nucleotides in length. Their secondary structure includes four short double-helical elements and three loops (D, anti-codon, and T loops). Further hydrogen bonds mediate the characteristic L-shaped molecular structure. tRNAs have two regions of fundamental functional importance: the anti-codon, which is responsible for specific mRNA codon recognition, and the 3' end, to which the tRNAs corresponding amino acid is attached (by aminoacyl-tRNA synthetases). tRNAs cope with the degeneracy of the genetic code in two manners: having more than one tRNA (with a specific anti-codon) for a particular amino acid; and 'wobble' base-pairing, i.e. permitting non-standard base-pairing at the 3rd anti-codon position. Lineage: Eukaryota; Fungi; Ascomycota; Sordariomycetes; Sordariales; Lasiosphaeriaceae. The record is from Rfam by way of RNAcentral.
GUCACUUUGGCGGAGUGGUUAACGCGCUGCCCUGCUAUUGUUCAGUUAGGCAGUUCCUUCGGGAGCGUAGGUUCGAAUCCUGCAGGUGACG